GACAGAGGGUGCAAACGUUGUUCGGAAUUACUGGGCGUAAAGCGUGUGUAGGCGGCUAUGUAAGUCGGAUGUGGAAGCCCCGGGCUCAACCCGGGAAGUGCACUCGAUACUGCGUAGCUUGAGUCUCGGAGAGGUUGGUGGAAUUCUCGGUGUAGAGGUGAAAUUCGUAGAUAUCGAGAGGAACACCGGUGGCGAAGGCGGCCAACUGGACGAAGACUGACGCUGAGACACGAAAGCGUGGGGAGCAAACAGG
This 253-nucleotide ribosomal RNA is filed under the name uncultured bacterium. RNAcentral describes it as "partial 16S ribosomal RNA". It matches the Rfam family "Bacterial small subunit ribosomal RNA", at positions 524 to 776 of the family's 1533-position model. The record is from RNAcentral.